Molecule: ribosomal RNA, 882 nt
Filed under: Leptodontidium sp. nc_besc_890f
Lineage: Eukaryota; Fungi; Ascomycota; Leotiomycetes; Helotiales; Leptodontidiaceae
Description: eukaryotic LSU rRNA
Rfam family: Eukaryotic large subunit ribosomal RNA (bases 554-882)
Source: RNAcentral
GGAGGAUCAUUACUAGAGCAAAGGAUAGACAGCGCCCGCGGAGCUCGCUCCCGGGGCUACCCUACUCCCGUAGGGUUUAGAGUCGUCGGGCCUCUCGGAGAAGCUCGGUCCUGAACUCCACCCUUGAAUAAACUACCUUUGUUGCUUUGGCGGGCCGCCUCGUGCCAGCGGCUUCGGCUGUUGAGUGCCCGCCAGAGGACCCCAACUCUUGUUUUUAGUGAUGUCUGAGUACUAUAUAAUAGUUAAAACUUUCAACAACGGAUCUCUUGGUUCUGGCAUCGAUGAAGAACGCAGCGAAAUGCGAUAAGUAAUGUGAAUUGCAGAAUUCAGUGAAUCAUCGAAUCUUUGAACGCACAUUGCGCCCUCUGGUAUUCCGGGGGGCAUGCCUGUUCGAGCGUCAUUAUAACCACUCAAGCUCUCGCUUGGUAUUGGGGUUCGCGGUUUCGCGGCCCCUAAAAUCAGUGGCGGUGCCUGUCGGCUCUACGCGUAGUAAUACUCCUCGCGAUUGAGUCCGGUAGGUCUACUUGCCAGCAACCCCUAAUUUUUUUAAGGUUGACCUCGGAUCAGGUAGGGAUACCCGCUGAACUUAAGCAUAUCAAUAAGCGGAGGAAAAGAAACCAACAGGGAUUACCUCAGUAACGGCGAGUGAAGCGGUAACAGCUCAAAUUUGAAAGCUGGCUCUUUUAGGGUCCGCGUUGUAAUUUGUAGAAGAUGCUUCGGGUGUGGCCCCGGUCUAAGUUCCUUGGAACAGGACGUCAUAGAGGGUGAGAAUCCCGUAUGUGACUGGGUGCUUUCGCCCAUGUGAAGCUCUUUCGACGAGUCGAGUUGUUUGGGAAUGCAGCUCAAAAUGGGUGGUAAAUUUCAUCUAAAGCUAAAUAUUGG